RNAcentral lists this microRNA precursor (98 nucleotides) under Manduca sexta (tobacco hornworm). RNAcentral describes it as "microRNA mse-mir-2779 precursor". The record is from miRBase by way of RNAcentral. Lineage: Eukaryota; Metazoa; Arthropoda; Insecta; Lepidoptera; Sphingidae.
CUUUUGCUUGGUAGAGGUCACUGAACUUUGUAUCGUAGAAGUCCCUGACCUUUUACUUGACAGAGGUCACUGAACUCUAUCCGGCUCGAAGGACCAAU